Molecule: long non-coding RNA, 2193 nt
Filed under: Ananas comosus (pineapple)
Lineage: Eukaryota; Viridiplantae; Streptophyta; Magnoliopsida; Poales; Bromeliaceae
Description: long non-coding RNA (ACOM_LNC041594)
Source: RNAcentral
AAUAGUCUCAACUCUCAAAUUACAAUCUCAGAAUUCAAAUUAAAUUUCAAACAUAAGUUCUAACAAAAAAUAUUUGUUCAAAAUGUAACAAAAAAAUAACAAACACCGCAUGUCUUGCUUCCCACUUCAAUUUCCGCAGCUCCAGCUGAUCUGGAUCAACCAAAAAAAAUUCAUAAAAUCAGUGUCUGAAAUUACUAAAUAAAAAUCAUCAUAUCAAAUUUCUAAAAAAGAAAUUACUAAAUAAAAAUCAUCAUAUCAAAUUUCUAAAAAAUAUGAAAGUUAGAUGUACUGUUUUGGUCUAGCUUUUCUUUUUAUUUUGUAACAAUAGCACUCAAAUUAAGUACACAAGCACAUCUGAAAAUGAACAUAAGAACAACAAAAAGAAUUUCAGAUAGUGAAUAGAACAAUAAGUAAUUUGUAGGCCUUUACUAUGGCCUUAGCCAUGAAGGAUCCAACAAGGCCUUGCCUUUUUUUGCCUAUCUAACAAAAGCAAAUAUUGCAGUAUAUACAAAACAAUAUUAGAAAGAGAUAACAAGGAGAAAAAAUACAAGAUCUUUUCACUUCACACGGCAAAUCAUCAAGGAAAAAGGGAACACCUAUGAAAUCUUCAGGCAAUAUAGUAAUAAUCUAAAUCAAGUUUACCAUAGGUCGCGGGACCAAAUGUUCAUCAACAAAUAAGAAGACAAUAGUUAAGAAAAUUACAUAAAAAACGCAUGCAUCUUUGUGUUCCACAAAUAGAAUAUUCUUCCUAGCAUUGUAUUAUCCUCAAAUGAGGCUACUACUUUUGGUAAUAUUAGCAAGUCUUUAAAUAUGUAUCAUAGUUCUGUGCAGAAGCAAAGAACAUCAAAUGGUAGUUUGAGAUAGACAUCAUAAUAUCCCUAUACAAGGUCCUACUGUAUUGAAGAAACCUUAAUGACAAGAUGUUCCCUUCCUUUCUACAGUACAAGUCAGGUUGCCAAGGGUUAAAUAAAGCGAGCAAACGACAUAUGAUUAUAUACUUGUAUAUUAGGAUACUAUCCUAGAAAAACAUGAGAUGAUAUACGAAGCAAAGAUAAAAUUUUAUCCAUAACUAGUAAACCCAUCUCUGUACUUAUAUUCAUCUCGGAGGGUUCAUAUUUGAGAGUUUUUGUUCAAAAACGGAGGGUUCAUAUUUGAGACAAACAAAGCUUAGGUUCUGUUUUUGCAUAGCUUUUGACGCGAUCUAUUUGAAUUGAACAAAAAUCAAACUCAUUCCUUCCAAUUAUGCAAGAAAGUUUUCAUCUUAAGCAAAAUAGCAUACAAUAAUUGCCUUAUGAUCAGGAUUUGACCCGAAGAUAAAAAAAACUUACCAUGUUCUCAAUUUGUAUGGUAGUAGUCAAAGACCAAAGCAAAGGAAGCAUUAAUUGUCGCGGCUCUUCUUAUUUACGCUUUGAGCUCGAAACGAAUCCUCAUCUGCAAUCACACAAGGAAUAGUCCAUGUUCCAUAGGCAUGCCCUAAAUUUAGUCCUCCUAAUCGAAAGAACAAUGAUAAUAAUGAAAGUUAACUUUUAUUGAGGUUAUUGUUAACUUUCAUACACAAUUGGAAUACUUAAUACAUAUACCUUCCUUUGUGGCUUCUUCACAUCUUCUCCAGUAAUUCAAAGAAAGGUCAGGAUCCAAUGUUUUUGAUAAGCUCUCAUACUUCUCUUCCGCCUCGCAAAUGCACUUCGCCUGGAAAAGUAAGCUAAUUAUCAAAGAUUGUAAGCUGCUCAAAAACAGAUUAAAGUACUACCGGAUGGUGUUGACAAUGUAAACUCACAGAAAAAAAAUACAACUAGAAACAUUUCACUCAUCUGUUUAUCAUGAAGUUGGAAUUAUUGAGCUUUCCCCUUGCUCAAGAAGGCAAUAAAAUGUUUCCAACUAUUAUAGGCUAGGUUGAACUAGCUGGAGCUUUUAUGCAGAACUAGCUGGAGCUUUUCUCACCCCACUCUAUUUCCAGUGGUAGGUACAUGUCUACCGAGCGAGGACCGCGGCAAGGGCAUCGCGCUCGAUCAGUGAGACCGUAGCAGUACAGUAGCUUUCCUUUUUGCAUUAGCACACCUAUGUAUUUAGAGAGAUUCAUGUAGGUGAGGAUUUGGAGAGCUAUGUAUUUUGGAUGAUCAAAUGUAUUCAUUUUGAGAAAUGAUGUAAAAAGAUGCAAACUAUUGUAAUAGUUAGUAAAGUACUCUCUUUUUU